GAGUGGCGGACGGGUGAGUAACAAGUUGGUAACUGCCUUAAGCUCAGGCAUAACUCCGAGAAAUCGGAGCUAAUACCGGAUGGUCCCUUCGGGGUAAAGCUUUUGCGGCUUAAGAGGUGCCUACUUCCUAUCAGCUAGUUGGUGAGAUAUUAGCUCACCAAGGCGAUGACGGGUAGCUGAUCUGAGAGGAUGAUCAGCCACACUGGGACUGAGAUACGGCCCAGACUCCUAUANGAGGCCGCAGUGAGGAAUCUUCCGCAAUGGGGGCAACCCUGACGGAGCAACGCCGCGUGAAGGAUGAAGGUCUUCGGAUCGUAAACUUCUUAUGUUACGGAACAAUAAUGAGCGUACCUAACGAAUAAGUCACGGCUAAUCACGUGCCAGCAGCCGCGGUAAUACGUGAGUGGCUAGCGUUAUCCGGAAUUAUUGGGCGUAAAGCGUCAGUACGAGGUUCGUUAAGUGAGAUGUAACAGCCUUUGGCUUAACCAAGGGACGGCAUCUCCAUACUGGCAAGCUAGAGGAAGGUAGAGGCAAACGGAAUUCUCGGCGUACGGGUAAUAUCCGUCGAGCACGAGAGGAACCCCAAUAGCGACAGCAGUUUGCUGGAGCUUUCCUGACUCUCAGAGACAACCGCGUGGGGAGCGAACCGGAUUAGAUACCCGGGUAGUCCACGCCGUAUAGUAUGGGUACUUGGUGCAGGUGGUAUCGAUCCCUUCUGUGCUUAAGCUAACGCGUUAAGUACUCCGCCUGGGGAGUACGUCCGCAAGGCUGAAACUCAAAGGAAUUGACGGGGAUCCACACAAGCGGUGGAGCAUGUGGUUUAAUUCGACGAUAAGCGAGGAACCUUACCUAGGCUUGACAUCUCGGGAACCCUUUGGAAACAAGGGGGUGCCCCUCGGGGAACCCGAUGACAGGUGCUGCAUGGUCGUCGUCAGCUCGUGCCGUGAGGUGUACGGUUAAGUCCGAUAACGAGCGCAACCCUUGUCACUAGUUGUAUUUCUCUAGUGAGACUGCCUCCGUAAGGAGGAGGAAGGUGGGGAUGACGUCAGAUCAGCAUGGCUCUUACGCCUAGGGCUACACACGUGCUACAAUGGGGUAUACAAUGGGUAGCCAACCCGCGAGGGGGAGCUAAUCUCAUCAAAGUACCUCCAAGUUCGGAUUGAAGGCUGCAAUUCGCCUUCAUGAAGUUGGAAUCGCUAGUAACCGCCAAUCAGCCAUGUGGCGGUGAAUCUGUUCCUGGAUCUUGUACACACCGCCCGUCACGACAUGGAAGAUGGAAGCACCAGAAGCUGCGUUAG
This 1298-nucleotide ribosomal RNA is filed under the name uncultured organism. Its description in RNAcentral is "bacterial SSU rRNA". It matches the Rfam family "Bacterial small subunit ribosomal RNA", at positions 93 to 1435 of the family's 1533-position model. The record is from RNAcentral.